CAAAAAGGCAGGAAGCAACAUUCUGAAAUGGAGACAGAGGCGCCCUACUAGUCACUGCUAACUCACCGGGGCCCAAGGGGGAACCAGGACACUUGCAAGGGAGGGCAGAGGGGUUUUCUCUUCCUGGAAACGGGGGGGGGGCGGGGGGGGGGGGGGGAAUAAAUAAAACUUGGCACUUUCUCAGCAUAACAGCUGUGCCUGUCUCCACAAGAAAACACCAUCAAGCGAUUCGUGAAUCCGUGUUAAAUAAUUGCUCUUCAUGUAAGGUGACUAUUGUGUUCUGUCCCUCAUUAUGAAAAUCUUGUGGUCUGAUUUUCAGCACGUUUAAUCCUGUUCAAAACCAAAUUAAACCCUGAAAGCAUAUGUUACUGUAAAGUAUGAGUCACAGACUGUCAUGAUAUUUUGCAGAAGAUUAUUCAGCAGCUGUCUUCAAAACGAAAAAAGCGAAGAGCUACAUUUGCCCUGUGCCUGUUACCCGCCGGAGGCUUGUCGGGCCACGUCGGGGAGCGUGGAGGGAGAGGCAUGAGCCGCGCGCUCGGGGGACCCCAGACAUUGGAAAAGAGGGACAAAAAAGUUCUAGAAGCUGAGAGAUGUCGUGACUAUAAGAAGAAGCAACGUGUUUUGCCUCUUUAUUGCAAAGUAAUAGAAAUAAUAAUGGGCUAAUGAUGAUGAUGGCUGAAGUUUCCUGACAACCUCAGUGUGUGCUAGGUCCUGUGCUGAGCACUUUAUACAUACUUCUGUCCAGUGGAGCAUAAAAGAAACCUGUUGCGCUUCUCAGAAGAGGUCUACUCAUCAUUGUCGACAGAGAGGCAUGUGAGAAGUCCCAAUUCAGAGCAGUGACAGCCA
This 846-nucleotide long non-coding RNA is filed under the name Canis lupus familiaris (dog). RNAcentral's name for it is "lncRNA (ENSCAFG00030009298.1)". Lineage: Eukaryota; Metazoa; Chordata; Mammalia; Carnivora; Canidae. The record is from RNAcentral.